UGAGGAAUAUUGCGCAAUGGGGGCAACCCUGACGCAGCGACGCCGCGUGAGUGAGGAAGGCCUUCGGGUCGUAAAGCUCUGUCAAAGGGAAAGAAAUGUAUAAUGGCUAAUACCUGUUAUAUUUGACGGUACCCUUAAAGGAAGCACCGGCUAACUCCGUGCAAGCAGCCGCGGUAAUACGGAGGGUGCAAGCGUUGUUCGGAAGUACUGGGCGUAAAGGGCGCGUAGGCGGUUGGAUAAGUCAGAUGUGAAAGCCCACGGCUUAACUGUGGAAGUGCAUUUGAUACUGUCAGACUUGAGUACCAGAGGGGAAAGUGGAAGUCCCGGUGUAGAGGUGAAAUUCGUAGAUAUCGGGAGGAAUACCGGUGGCGAAGGCGACUUUCUGGCUGGAUACUGACGCUGAGGCGCGAAAGCGUGGGGAGCAAACA
Molecule: ribosomal RNA, 428 nt
Filed under: uncultured prokaryote
Description: bacterial SSU rRNA
Rfam family: Bacterial small subunit ribosomal RNA
Source: RNAcentral